CCUACGGGAGACAGCAGUGAGGAAUAUUUGUCAAUGGACGCAAGUCUGAACCAGCCAUGCCGCGUGCAGGCAGACGGCUCUAUGAGUUGUAAACUGCUUUUGUACGAGGGUAAACGCAGAUACGCGUAUCUGUCUGAAAGUAUCGUACGAAUAAGGAUCGGCUAACUCCGUGCCAGCAGCCGCGGUAAUACGGAGGAUUCAAGCGUUAUCCGGAUUUAUUGGGUUUAAAGGGUGCGUAGGCGGUCGGAUAAGUUAGAGGUGAAAUCCCGAGGCUCAACUUCGGAAUUGCCUCUGAUACUGUUCGGCGAGAGAGUAGUUGCGGUAGGCGGAAUGUAUGGUGUAGCGGUGAAAUGCUUAGAGAUCAUACAGAACACCGAUUGCGAAGGCAGCUUACCAAGCUACUUCUGACGUUGAGGCACGAAAGCGUGGGGAGCAAACAGGAUUAGAUACCCCUGUAGUC
RNAcentral lists this ribosomal RNA (460 nucleotides) under uncultured bacterium. RNAcentral's name for it is "partial 16S ribosomal RNA". It matches the Rfam family "Bacterial small subunit ribosomal RNA", at positions 338 to 795 of the family's 1533-position model. The record is from RNAcentral.